GUGAUGUUAGGAUCUUGACACAUUAGCGUUUUUUGAUUGUUUCUGGUUGGGGGGAAAGCAAAACAUUGUGAGGAAAGGAAGGAGGGAAAUGAAGGAAGGAUGAGUAAACAAUGUAUAUGCAUGUUCUUGAACAAUUGUAAAUGUAAAAUUGUUAGCUCUGUAGCAGACAAGAUGUAACGUAAGUGACCAUGUCUCUCUCCGCCUGUACAAUAGGUUACUUCCAUUGAUCCCAAUAAUCUGAACUCCCAUUAGAACGGCAUGGAUGAGAUUACAUUGUUUGGAUUCAUAUGAGACAAAAGACAAUGAGACUGUAUCACUGCCCCUGACCAAAGACUGAAGUAGUAAACACCUGGACACUCAACCAAAUUCAUCUCAGUCAAAUGAAACAAUCUUAGUGCACCUGUUGCUACAGUACGUUUUUACUCUUGAGCACAGUUUAAUGAUCAUAGAUGUACACAUGGCCAAUAGAUAUUCCAACUGUUUUUGUUGUACUUGGGCAAUACAUUAAGUACUUAAUGCCUAACACAGCCAAAGCAGAAAUUUUUCAAACAAAAGAGUGGUAGAUUUGAACUACCAAGUAUUUCAAGCUAAUUUCAUUUCCACAUGGUAUAUAGAGAACACCACCCCUACUCCUCCUUUGAUAUUUGGCAUCUUACUCAAUUGUCAAUCAAAGACCCAAAACGUUCUUAAGGAGACUCCCAUCCUGUACAAUGCCAUAUAUAGACCACAAUGGAUGUGUCAUGUCUGUUAUGGGAUUUUUUAUUUCUAUUGAUUAUCCUGAGUCAGUUUAAUGGAUCACAUUGUCAACUGCAAACAAGUACAACUUGGUUUCUAAAAGACAGUUCUAAUUGAUGUGAGAGUCCUGUGCCUUUUUAAUUGGUUUGCCUUGUUUUUGAUGUUGAAUGUGUGAAAUGCAUCAUUGUGUAUAUUGCCAUUGUAUUCUGCAAAGCUGUCUGUUAUUGUAUAGACUCAUGUGCACUUUUAGUAUGGUACUACUGCUAAUAAAAAAAAAACAACGCUUGUGAUGACGAACAGUAUUUUCAGAAGUGUCUCGUUAAAAAAGUUAAUGCUAGGACGUUUAUUUUUAUUUUGUAUUGAACCACUUUAUUUAAAAUGUUCUGUUCAUCUUCUUAUGUGUAUGCAUUGAUGAGUUGUACAUGUGUGACGUAAAGGCUAAAUGAAGAUGAUUUGAUGAUCGUUGAAUAGUAGUGUAGAGGGAAUUUGCUUGUAAGUAAUAAAUGUGACUAUUGUACAUUGCUGAAGUGAACACUGUGUCUUUGUGUUGAUUUUCUGGUUGACUCGAACCAUAUGGUAGAUGUACGGA
Esox lucius (northern pike) is the source of this 1324-nucleotide long non-coding RNA. The record is from Ensembl. NCBI's taxonomy places the organism in Eukaryota, Metazoa, Chordata, Actinopteri, Esociformes, Esocidae.